Molecule: long non-coding RNA, 437 nt
Organism: Maylandia zebra (zebra mbuna)
Lineage: Eukaryota; Metazoa; Chordata; Actinopteri; Cichliformes; Cichlidae
Source: RefSeq, a predicted model, not a curated record
AGGUAGUGGGUGUGUGGGGUGAAGUCAGCGCUCUUCUGUGGAAAAAACCAGAGGCAAUUAAUUCACUCAGGUGCGAGUGGGUAUACUGUCGUGUGACCACGAAUUUUAAUAGAAGAAUUGAUCAAGCCCUAGAUCGACUGCGCGCAGGGAAACUGAUCAAUAUUAUCACAGGCCAUACAUAGCACUGAUUCCCAGCUGCGCUGAGACCCGAAUUGUUUGCAGUGUGUGCCACGAUUGCAGUGCCACUAAGCGGGGUGUGACGGGUUGUAGUGUUAUUUCGCACAGUUUGUGUGGUAAGUCUCAUGCGCAGCUGGGAUAUCGGCAGGAUGUGUUGUAAGUCCUGUCUGGAAACGACUGGGAAUUUGUAUGUUUAACUUAUGUAAUAAAUAAAUGAUCAAUUAUUUCUUUGCCCCGUUUACUUAUCCCUUGUCCUCGGU